AUUGAUGCUGUGCCUAGCAUCUUGCUGUAAAUACUGUAUAAUGACUCUGUGUGAAUAGGUUUGGUUCAUAUCCACAAUGGAGAACAAACCUUUCAAGUCAGCAAAUUAAAGAUGUUUACUCAUUUUC
Dipodomys ordii (Ord's kangaroo rat) is the source of this 127-nucleotide long non-coding RNA. RefSeq lists it as uncharacterized. The transcript is spliced from 2 exons. The record is from RefSeq and is a predicted model, not a curated record. NCBI's taxonomy places the organism in Eukaryota, Metazoa, Chordata, Mammalia, Rodentia, Heteromyidae.